AGUUGGAGAACUGUUUUCGAGACGAGCCGUGGCUGGUUGCACGAUCCUUUAUCAUCGAAAAUCAUCCACCAUCCGAAGUUAAACAUCCAUUUUUACCUUCUAAAUACGUUGUAUAAAGAUUUUGGAGCACAUCCGGAAGGUUAAAUAAUCACUUCUACUGCCCUGCCUGGUGUGUGGUGGAUAAGAGGCUCAACUCAGUUUGAUUAGCAUUGGUCACCUGUACAGCAGAUAUGGGGUUCAACUACAGUGAUUAUAAGGAUUAGCCCAGUUUGAAUAGCAUUGGUCUCAUGUACAGUGAAUAUAUGGAUUAGCCAAGUUUGAAUAGCAUUGGUCUUAUGUACAAUGGAUUAGGCGCUCA
Nematostella vectensis (starlet sea anemone) is the source of this 358-nucleotide long non-coding RNA. RefSeq lists it as uncharacterized. The transcript has 2 exons. The record is from RefSeq and is a predicted model, not a curated record. NCBI's taxonomy places the organism in Eukaryota, Metazoa, Cnidaria, Anthozoa, Actiniaria, Edwardsiidae.